RNAcentral lists this ribosomal RNA (440 nucleotides) under bacterium MA3013. RNAcentral's name for it is "bacterial SSU rRNA". It matches the Rfam family "Bacterial small subunit ribosomal RNA", at positions 28 to 479 of the family's 1533-position model. The record is from RNAcentral.
GACGAACGCUGGCGGCGUGCUUAACACAUGCAAGUCGAACGGAAAGGCCCUGCUUUUGUGGGGUGCUCGAGUGGCGAACGGGUGAGUAACACGUGAGUAACCUGCCCUUGACUUUGGGAUAACUUCAGGAAACUGGGGCUAAUACCGGAUAGGAGCUCCUGCUGCAUGGUGGGGGUUGGAAAGUUUCGGCGGUUGGGGAUGGACUCGCGGCUUAUCAGCUUGUUGGUGGGGUAGUGGCUUACCAAGGCUUUGACGGGUAGCCGGCCUGAGAGGGUGACCGGCCACAUUGGGACUGAGAUACGGCCCAGACUCCUACGGGAGGCAGCAGUGGGGAAUAUUGCACAAUGGGCGGAAGCCUGAUGCAGCAACGCCGCGUGCGGGAUGACGGCCUUCGGGUUGUAAACCGCUUUCGCCUGUGACGAAGCGUGAGUGACGGUAAU